Long non-coding RNA from Oxyura jamaicensis (ruddy duck), 664 nucleotides. RefSeq lists it as uncharacterized. NCBI's taxonomy places the organism in Eukaryota, Metazoa, Chordata, Aves, Anseriformes, Anatidae. The record is from RefSeq and is a predicted model, not a curated record. The transcript is spliced from 2 exons.
AGCUCAGGCACGUUUGCCAAAUUAAGCUUGUUUGCUACAUGCUGCUAACGAGCUGACCUUGUGUAGCUGCAGCACCUGCCCCUCAUAAGUCUUUAAAGGUGGGGAAAGGAGGGUGGAAAAUUGCCUGUAGCUGCUGUUUUUCCUUCUGUCUUGGUCCAGGGAUGGGUGUGUGCAGUACCCGGUCCCACCCUCUCUCAAGGAAGAGCUCAGGCUGGGAGCCGGUGGCCAGCAGACCUCAUAGGUGCCUUUGGAGAGGAAACCUGCCCAAGCAGAUGCAAACAUGCACGUGCCGAAGGAAGCGACUCGCGGUUCCCUGCCGCCCUUGAGGGGCCGUGGUGUAAGGUCCCCGACCCCAGCCUGCUCCCGUGGGCUGGAGAAGCCAGGUGGAUCUGGAGACAUCGGUCUUUGCCUGUCGGUGCAUCCACCUCAGCUGCAGUUACUGAGGUCUUUCAGUUGACGUUCACCCCCCAGGUCAGUUUUAUUGCACUUUUAUUUACAGAAAACACAGAAAUAAAGCAUUAAAUGUGUUGGGCUUCUACCAAACCACCCAAUCACUUUUUUUUUUUUUUCUUUUGUGGGUUUUUGGCACGAAGAAAUAUCACAGGUGUUACCAAACAACCAUGUAUGAGCAGCUGACCGCCUGCCCAGCCCAAUAAUAUGACUU